GCCACAAAAGGUUGGGCACACCUGUAGUCUCAGCUACUUGGGAGGCUGAGGCAGGAGGAUCACGUGAGUCCAGAAGUUCUGGGCUGUAGGGCGCUAUGCUGAUCAGGUGUCCGCACUAAGUUCAGCAUCAGUGUGGUGACCUCCCAGGAGCAGGGGACCACAAGGUUGCCUAAGGAGGGGUGAACCAGCCCAGGUCAGAAACGGAGCAGGUCAAAAUUCCCAGGCUGGUCAGUAGUGGGAUCGCACUGCACCCCAGCCUGGGCAACAUAGCAAGACCCCGUCUCU
Molecule: signal recognition particle RNA, 285 nt
Filed under: Microcebus murinus (gray mouse lemur)
Lineage: Eukaryota; Metazoa; Chordata; Mammalia; Primates; Cheirogaleidae
Description: Metazoan signal recognition particle RNA (ENSMICG00000031979.2)
Rfam family: Metazoan signal recognition particle RNA
About the family: The signal recognition particle (SRP) is a universally conserved ribonucleoprotein. It is involved in the co-translational targeting of proteins to membranes. The eukaryotic SRP consists of a 300-nucleotide 7S RNA and six proteins: SRPs 72, 68, 54, 19, 14, and 9.
Source: RNAcentral